Molecule: ribosomal RNA, 497 nt
Filed under: uncultured bacterium
Lineage: Bacteria
Description: partial 16S ribosomal RNA
Rfam family: Bacterial small subunit ribosomal RNA
Source: RNAcentral
GAUGAACGCUGGCGGCGUGCCUAAUACAUGCAAGUCGAGCGAACAGACGAGGAGCUUGCUCCUUCGACGUUAGCGGCGGACGGGUGAGUAACACGUAGGUAACCUACCUAUAAGACUGGGGUAACUUCGGGAAACCGGAGCUAAUACCGGAUAAUAUUUCGAACCGCAUGGUUCGAUAGUGAAAGAUGGCUUUGCUAUCACUUAUAGAUGGACCUGCGCCGUAUUAGCUAGUUGGUAAGGUAACGGCUUACCAAGGCAACGAUACGUAGCCGACCUGAGAGGGUGAUCGGCCACACUGGAACUGAGACACGGUCCAGACUCCUACGGGAGGCAGCAGUAGGGAAUCUUCCGCAAAGGGCGAAAGCCUGACGGAGCAACGCCGCGUGAGUGAUGAAGGUCUUCGGAUCGUAAAACUCUGUUAUUAGGGAAGAACAAACGUGUAAGUAACUGUGCACGUCUUGACGGUACCUAAUCAGAAAGCCACGGCUAACUACGUG